UAAGUAAGCGGAGGAAAAGAAACUAACUAGGAUUCCCUUAGUAAUGGCGAAUGAACAGGGAUCAGCUCAGUGCCAAAUCGGAAUCACUUGUGGUUCUGAAAUGUGGCUUGAAGGCAGUACCAGUGGCAUCGCGGGCGAAAGUCUCUUGGAAAAGAGCGUCAUAGAGGGUGAGAAUCCCGUGAGUCGUUCGCCGUUUGUCACGUACGGUCUGCGUUCUAACGAGUCGCGUUCCUUGGGAUUGGAGCGUAAACGGGUGGUAAAUUUCAUCCAAAGCAAAAUAUAUACUCGAGACCGAUAGCACAAAAGUACCGUGAGGGAAAGGUGAAAAGAACUUUGAGAAGAGGGUUAAAUAGUGCCUGAAAUCGUUGAGAAGGAAGCGGAUGCCGCCGUUGCAUAUGCUGAUUGUAGGAUUGCUGCUCGCUCCUGUCUUCUGCUACUCAUUCACAGACCUGGUCGUGUUGAGCAGUUGUUUGGCAGAUGUUAGUGGUGUUUCCUACUUUCAGUCGUCAGCAUCACUGGCUGAGUGGAAAUAAUCCUUGGAUGCUAAUUGGUUCGCUAUCUGUGAAUUGGUUGCUUCCUUGCGAUACUCACUACUCGGUCAGUGAGGAAGUGCGUUUGCUGGUCAACGAGCUUUCUAACUGUCAUUACCCUGCGCUUUUCGAUUCGUCGAGUGGCCAGGAUGUGGCUUUGAGAUUGUUCGCACUUAGUAAUCGCGAUGCUGGCUUCCAACGGUUGCCUCCGGCCCGUCUUGAAACACGGACCAAGGAGUCUAACGUAUGUGCGAGUGUGUGAGUGGCAAACUUAUACGCGUAAUGAAAGUGAGGCCGUAUGGCCAUGUUGGGGUCACCAACAACCGACCUUGAUCUUCGGUGAAAGGUUUGAGUAUGAGCAUAUCCGUUAGGACCCGAAAGAUGGUGAACUAUGCCUGAGCAGGGUGAAGCCAGGGGAAACUCUGGUGGAGGCUCGUAGCGAUA
Molecule: ribosomal RNA, 974 nt
Filed under: Perkinsus marinus
Lineage: Eukaryota; Perkinsozoa; Perkinsida; Perkinsidae
Description: LSU rRNA
Rfam family: Eukaryotic large subunit ribosomal RNA
Source: RNAcentral